This is a long non-coding RNA of Chinchilla lanigera (long-tailed chinchilla), 388 nucleotides long. RefSeq lists it as uncharacterized. The transcript is spliced from 3 exons. NCBI's taxonomy places the organism in Eukaryota, Metazoa, Chordata, Mammalia, Rodentia, Chinchillidae. The record is from RefSeq and is a predicted model, not a curated record.
UUCUCCACUUACUUUUCCAGAAGUCUCUGGAAGCAACUAAAGUUUUCUGUUCCAGCUGGACAGUGGGGGGAGCAUUUGGAAUCUCCAUUAAAGAAGGCAUGAGAAGGAGUGACAAAGAGAGAGAAGGGGAGAGAAGAGAAAAGAGAAAACAAAACCCAGAGCUGGGACACCCGUAGGGGCUCCAUGCUGAAAUGAUAACAAAUUCCAUGAAAGAAGCCAGAGAGUGUUUGGAUGAUGCUUCCAGGCAUCUAACGCAUGGAACAUGACCAGGAGGGCUGACUUACAUCGGAAGUCACAGGCCAGCAUGUGACCAAAACAGAGGAGACAGAUAUUUACAUCUUGGAGGUACUUAAGGCAUGGCGCAGUCUCCAAGGAGGAUGAUGCCUCU